This 445-nucleotide ribosomal RNA is filed under the name uncultured bacterium. RNAcentral's name for it is "partial 16S ribosomal RNA". It matches the Rfam family "Bacterial small subunit ribosomal RNA", at positions 354 to 796 of the family's 1533-position model. The record is from RNAcentral.
GUGAGGAAUAUUGGUCAAUGGGCGAGAGCCUGAACCAGCCAAGUCGCGUGAAGGAUGAAGGUUUUAUGAAUUGUAAACUUCUUUUGCAGGGGAAUAAAGUACGGUACGUGUACCGUUUUGUAUGUACUCUGCGAAUAAGGAUCGGCUAACUCCGUGCCAGCAGCCGCGGUAAUACGGAGGAUCCAAGCGUUAUCCGGAUUUAUUGGGUUUAAAGGGUGCGCAGGCGGGUUGAUAAGUCAGCGGUGAAAGUUUGCAGCUUAACUGUAAAAUUGCCGUUGAAACUGUCGAGCUUGAGUGCAAAUGAGGUAAGCGGAAUGUGUUGUGUAGCGGUGAAAUGCUUAGAUAUAACACAGAACUCCGAUUGCGAAGGCAGCUUACUAAGCUACAACUGACACUGAAGCACGAAAGCGUGGGGAUCAAACAGGAUUAGAUACCCCAGUAGUCC